GGGGGUGUAGCUCAGUGGUAAAGUGUGUGCUUAGCAUGCAUAGGACCCUGGGUUCAAUCCCCAGCAUCCCCC
This 72-nucleotide transfer RNA is filed under the name Ictidomys tridecemlineatus (thirteen-lined ground squirrel). RNAcentral's name for it is "tRNA-Ala (AGC) (tRNA-Ala-AGC-20-1)". It matches the Rfam family "tRNA". Rfam says of the family: Transfer RNA (tRNA) molecules are approximately 80 nucleotides in length. Their secondary structure includes four short double-helical elements and three loops (D, anti-codon, and T loops). The record is from Rfam by way of RNAcentral. Lineage: Eukaryota; Metazoa; Chordata; Mammalia; Rodentia; Sciuridae.